CUCAUUUAACCAUCAAAUUUAAACUAAUACUAAUCUCUAAUAUCAAUUGAUUCCAGUUAAAUACAAUUAAGCACAUGAUCAAAAUUGAAAGAGGAUUUAGGGCUACGUAUUGGAGUUACCACGUUCUUCUUCUUCACCUGAACAGCGGCGGCGGCGGUAUCAUCUCCGUCUCCGAUCAAACACUCACGCUUCCGUCUCACUCGACCCUCUCUCGGUUCGCAUCCUCUCUAUGCUAUCGAUUCACUCUAUCAUCUCUCCAUCUUCUCCGAUUCAAUCAAGGUAACGGCUACCAGAGACACUCAUGCCGGCGGUGGAUGCGACGACAAGUUCGCAAAGGCCGGAGAACGUGCUUUUUUUCCAAUCGGACUCUGCAUUGAAGUUUAUUGAACGCAGUUUGAGGAGCUGUUGUUGACGCGUCUAUGGAGGUUCGUUGUUGCUUCUGUAGCGUAGUGAUGGUGAUGAUGUGCGUUGUUGUUGUGGUGAGGUUGUCGUUUGAAAAUGAUGAGCGAUGACGUUGCUGUGCCUCCGAACUCGCCGACGAAGAACAAACGAAGAAUCACUUCAAGAACUCAGGUGAUGUCAUCUCUCCUCUUCUAAAUUCAUCUUCCUCCUUAUGAAAUCAAUUGCGUUGCGAAUUUCUUCGUGCAAUCUCUGUUGAAGUUCUGAAGAUGAUGGAUCGAAGUUGAUGAAGAUUGAAGUGAGGAGAAGUUUGUUACGAUUCGUGGUGUUGAGUUCUUGGAUUCAGAAUGAAGGAAGAUUGAAUUCUGGCGGUGAAGAUUCUAAAGGAUGAAGGGAGGUUUUGAGGAAGAGGGAGAGAGUUUGAAGGUUUCGUGAAGAAUUGGAUGAAGAUGAUUGUAGCAUUUGAAGAGAGAGUCGAAGAUUUGGAGGUGAAGGUUCCAGAUUGAAGGGUGAGUGAUCCAGAUGAAGGCGCCGAGAGGUUGAAGCGUGUUGAAGAAGUUUGUUACGUUUCUCCCCAAUUCUGUUACGUUUGGAUUUGUUUAUAAGCAGAACUUUCGAUGCCGCCUUGGAUUUUCAGUCUGAAUUCGGUUCAGCUCUCUUCUUGAUGCAGGAAGCGGUUGACUCGGUCCAGUUAUCCUUUUGGUGUAGCAAGCGUUUGGACAUUAGAACAAUAGGUCCAUUUUUUUGUUGUAAUUUCUUUUUGUGUAAUGUCAUGUUUGUAUAGAAUUUGGGGACUUUGUUUGAAUUGUAUUUUGAAUGAAUAUAUGGACUGAAUUUAUUUUGCAA
Long non-coding RNA from Vicia villosa (hairy vetch), 1245 nucleotides. RefSeq lists it as uncharacterized. The record is from RefSeq and is a predicted model, not a curated record. NCBI's taxonomy places the organism in Eukaryota, Viridiplantae, Streptophyta, Magnoliopsida, Fabales, Fabaceae. The transcript is spliced from 3 exons.